UGUGUUUGUUGCCUGUCCCAAGAUUCUGGUCAAGAUGUGAAGUCAGCAGUCUUCAGGGGCUGGAGAUUCAACUUCAGCUCUGCUAUUUUCUGGCUUUGUAAUAUCAAGCCCAGCAUUUCUGGAUCCUUCUGGAGGGUGAGGAGAGCCCGCGGCGUGCAGUGCGUCUCUGCAGCCUGCCUGUUCCAGGGUUGCAGCAAUUUGGGUGCAGAACACCACAGACAACUUUGAAAGAGCCCACUUCCUUCAUUCCGGAGAGCGUGCGGCCGUUACACCAACAUCAAUGAAGGGGAACCCACCGGCUGCGCUCACACCGUUGAAGCAGGGCUUGAACUUCAAGAAGCGCAGGAUGACAGUGAUGGAGUUAAGGAGGGCAAGUGUGGAAACGAGAAGUAAAUGAGAAGUGUGAGGUGCCUACGGGGACAGAUCUCGGUGCACUGAGAGAAGCAAGAUUCUACCUUUAAAACUAAUAUUACUUUGGACCUCUUCAGAGAUGGAGUUUCCAUUUCUUCUCAAGUGUGGAAGGUUGCCCAACUCCAGCAGCUCUAUGAGUUCAGCAGCCCUGAAUUUCUGUAACCUCACUGAUUGGAAUUUGCAUGGUGGUUCCAUUACGUAGGUACAGUUGAUUAAGUCACUGCCAUUUCUUGUUAAUGCCAUUUCCAACCUCUUUUUCCUCUCUGAAGGUGAGGGGUGGGGC
Octodon degus (degu) is the source of this 694-nucleotide long non-coding RNA. RefSeq lists it as uncharacterized. Lineage: Eukaryota; Metazoa; Chordata; Mammalia; Rodentia; Octodontidae. The record is from RefSeq and is a predicted model, not a curated record. The transcript is spliced from 3 exons.